CAUGCAGUCGAGGGGUAGAGAGAGCUUGCUUUCUUGAGACCGGCGCACGGGUGCGUAACGCGUAUGCAACCUACCUUCAUCUGGGGGAUAGCCCGGAGAAAUCCGGAUUAAUACCGCAUAAAAUCACAGAAUUGCAUAAUUCAAUGAUCAAACAUUUAUGGGAUGGAGAUGGGCAUGCGUGUCAUUAGCUAGUUGGCGGGGUAACGGCCCACCAAGGCGACGAUGACUAGGGGAUCUGAGAGGAUGACCCCCCACACUGGUACUGAGACACGGACCAGACUCCUACGGGAGGCAGCAGUAAGGAAUAUUGGUCAAUGGGGGCAACCCUGAACCAGCCAUGCCGCGUGCAGGAAGACUGCCCUAUGGGUUGUAAACUGCUUUUAUCUGGGAAUAAACCUACUUACGUGUAAGUAGCUGAAUGUACCAGAGGAAUAAGGAUCGGCUAACUCCGUGCCAGCAGCCGCGGUAAUACGGAGGAUCCAAGCGUUAUCCGGAUUUAUUGGGUUUAAAGGGUGCGUAGGCGGCCUGUUAAGUCAGGGGUGAAAGACGGUAGCUCAACUAUCGCAGUGCCCUUGAUACUGAUGGGCUUGAAUGGACUAGAGGUAGGCGGAAUGAGACAAGUAGCGGUGAAAUGCAUAGAUAUGUCUCAGAACACCGAUGCGAAGGCAGCUUACUAUGGUCUUAUUGACGCUGAGGCACGAAAGCGUGGGGAUCAAACAGGAUUAGAUACCCUGGUAGUCCACGCCCUAAACGAUGAACACUCGCUGUUGGCGAUACACAGUCAGCGGCUAAGCGAAAGCGUUAAGUGUUCCACCUGGGGGAGUACGCCCGCAAGGGUGAAACUCAAAGGAAUUGACGGGGGGCCCGCACAAGCGAGGAGCAUGUGGGUUUAAUUCGAUGAUACGCCG
This 908-nucleotide ribosomal RNA is filed under the name Pedobacter sp. Its description in RNAcentral is "bacterial SSU rRNA". It matches the Rfam family "Bacterial small subunit ribosomal RNA", at positions 54 to 963 of the family's 1533-position model. The record is from RNAcentral. Lineage: Bacteria; Pseudomonadati; Bacteroidota; Sphingobacteriia; Sphingobacteriales; Sphingobacteriaceae.